This 492-nucleotide ribosomal RNA is filed under the name uncultured bacterium. RNAcentral's name for it is "partial 16S ribosomal RNA". It matches the Rfam family "Bacterial small subunit ribosomal RNA", at positions 29 to 507 of the family's 1533-position model. The record is from RNAcentral.
AGUGAACGCUGGCGGUAGGCCUAAUACAUGCAAGUCGAACGACACCUCAUUAAGAGCUUGCUCUUACGGUUGCCGAUAGACGGAUGGGUGAGGAACACGUCGGAAUCUACUUUUUCGUGGGGGAUAACGUAGGGAAACAUACGCUAAUACCGCAUACGACACACGGGUAAAAUCAGUAGAUCUUCGGAACUUUCGCGAAUGAAUGAGUCGAUGGCGGAUUAGCUAGUUGGCGGGGUAAAGGCCCACCAAGGCGACGAUCCGUAGCCGGUCUGAGAGGAUGAUCAGCCACACUGGAACUGAGACACGGUCCAGACUCCUACGGGAGGCAGCAGUGGGGAAUCUUGGACAAUGGGCGCAAGCCUGAUGCAGCCAUGCCGCGUGGGUGAAGAAGGCCUUCGGGUCGUAAAGCCCUUUUGUUGGGGAAGAAAAGCCGCGGGUUAAAACGCCGACGUUCUGACGGUACCCAACGAGAAAGCACCGGCUAACUUCGUG